AGUGAACGCUGGCGGUAGGCCUAACACAUGCAAGUCGAACGGCAGCACAGUAAGAGCUUGCUCUUACGGGUGGCGAGUGGCGGACGGGUGAGGAAUACAUCGGAAUCUACUUUUUCGUGGGGGAUAACGUAGGGAAACUUACGCUAAUACCGCAUACGACCUACGGGUGAAAGCAGUGGAUCUUCGGACCUUGCGCGAUUGAAUGAGCCGAUGUCGGAUUAGCUAGUUGGCGGGGUAAAGGCCCACCAAGGCGACGAUCCGUAGCUGGUCUGAGAGGAUGAUCAGCCACACUGGAACUGAGACACGGUCCAGACCCCUACGGGAGGCAGCAGUGGGGAAUAUUGGACAAAGGGCGCAAGCCUGAUCCAGCCAUACCGCGUGGGUGAAGAAGGCCUUCGGGUUGUAAAGCCCUUUUGUUGGGAAAGAAAAGCAGCAGGUUAAUACCACGCUGUUCUGACGGUACCCAAAGAAUAAGCACCGGCUAACUUCGUG
RNAcentral lists this ribosomal RNA (492 nucleotides) under uncultured bacterium. Its description in RNAcentral is "partial 16S ribosomal RNA". It matches the Rfam family "Bacterial small subunit ribosomal RNA", at positions 29 to 507 of the family's 1533-position model. The record is from RNAcentral.